GAAGCGACNUCAGCUCAGGCGGGGCUACCCGCUGAGUUUAAGCAUAUCAAUAAGCGG
This 57-nucleotide ribosomal RNA is filed under the name Macrolobium latifolium. RNAcentral's name for it is "partial 26S ribosomal RNA". The record is from RNAcentral. Lineage: Eukaryota; Viridiplantae; Streptophyta; Magnoliopsida; Fabales; Fabaceae.